This 675-nucleotide long non-coding RNA is filed under the name Pan troglodytes (chimpanzee). RNAcentral describes it as "lincRNA". Lineage: Eukaryota; Metazoa; Chordata; Mammalia; Primates; Hominidae. The record is from RNAcentral.
CGCCAGGGGAUGCAAACCCUUCUGCCCCUUUUUGCUACCCCUGAAGCUUACUGUUAGUGGUCGAGUUUUUCUGGAAGUGGGCUUCCGCGAUCGCGGGGACCAAAGCCCUGAGCUCUUGUGCCCAAAGGGGAUCGCCAGGUUUUUUGAUGCGGAUCGAAAGGGACUGGCCCCGGAGCCUACAACCUGACGCAGGUGGGACUUGGGGAAAUGUCGAGAAACCUAGGUCUGGGACUUGAGUUGGCUUCCAGGGCACACAUUCUUGUUCAGAAGAAACUCAUUGCAAAAAUCGGGAGGUGACAGGCAGAUGAAGUGUCGGCGCUUCGCCUCGGGACUCCAGUGCAACCUACGGGGCUUUUGGAAAGGAGGAAGUCGAUGACUCUGCAGGGACUCCUCUGACCCAGGAGCAGAUGGCGCUCGUCUGGGCACUCCCCAGGAGAAAAGGUGCAUCGGGAAGCAGCCUGACUUGUGGAUGGUGGACAAGGUGGAGGAGAGAGAAUUCCUUGGCAGCAGCAUUAUGAACAAAUGCAGGGCUGAGAAACAGCAUGGUGGCCUUGACUAAGUUUAUGGCGACAGCAGAUGGAGUCUUGCUCUGUCGCCCAGGCUAGAGUGCAGUGGCGCGAUCUCAGCUCACUGAAACCUCUGCCUCCCGGGUUCAAGUGAUUCUCCUGCCUCCGC